ACUACGUGCCAGCAGCCGCGGAAAUACGUAGGUGGCAAGCGUUGUCCGGAAUUACUGGGCGUAAAGGGAGCGUAGGUGGAUAUUUAAGUGGGAUGUGAAAUACUCGGGCUUAACCUGGGUGCUGCAUUCCAAACUGGAUAUCUAGAGUGCAGGAGAGGAAAGUAGAAUUCCUAGUGUAGCGGUGAAAUGCGUAGAGAUUAGGAAGAAUACCAGUGGCGAAGGC
Molecule: ribosomal RNA, 223 nt
Filed under: uncultured Clostridium sp.
Lineage: Bacteria; Bacillati; Bacillota; Clostridia; Eubacteriales; Clostridiaceae
Description: partial 16S ribosomal RNA
Rfam family: Bacterial small subunit ribosomal RNA
Source: RNAcentral